CAUUUUCACGUCAUGCUCUUCAUCCACAUGUGUUCAUACACUCAAAAUUGUAAAUAAACACAGAAUAUUAAAUUCCAAAGACAAAAUUUAAAAGUUAAUCUACACUUUGUAACAUAUAUAAAAAGUAUUUAACUUUUAAUCAAUUAAGCUAAUAUGACUCGUAAAUUACGAGCCGUAAUUUGAAUUCCAAUUUGGUUUAAAGACCAUAAAACUAUCAUGGAGCGUGAUGACCUAGUACUCGACAUAAAGUAUUCGCCAAAUCGUAGACAUGGCGAUGACGACGACGAUUUAAAAAUCCAUCCCGGAAACAUAAAGCAGGAACCUUCCCACAUUCUGGGAGGAUUUAUAUGGCCGGGUCCAAUAAAUAUUGACGAGCCUCCAAAUUUGUGUGAUAAUCUUAACGCUGACCAACUUAUCAAGACUGAACCAAUCGGAUAUCAUGACGUGGACAUAAGCUCGCAGAAUAACAAUCGUUUACCCGAGGAUAUAAAUAGUUUAGAAGAACAGGAAGUAUUCAACCUAACAGCGUCUCCCUGGCAUCCAAACCCCACUAGUGUCUCCUCUGUGGUAAAGCCUUUCGUCGAAGUUUAGAACUCAUCAGCCAUUUUAGAACACACGGCCCCCGCCCAAAAGUGCCCCAGUGCCCCCACUGUCCGGCAAGUUUUACGACGAGAUUUAGUUUAAAGAGACACAUAUCUAAGCUCCACCCGACUGCUGGAAAUGGGUCGAUGAGCAUACAGACUUUUAAAACUCAAAAAUUAAUCGAAAAACGACCCGACCCCGUCGUUAAGGAAAUCGAUUCGGACGAUGAACGAUUCUUGGACGAAUUGGAACGUGAACAGGAGAAGAAGUCCGUCGGAAAUAUUAAAACUGAUGAAACAAAGGAAAUGUGUAGUAAUUCUUGUCCCAUUUUUAUCAAGCCUGAACCAAUCGACGCUGAUACAUAAUUCCAACACCUCGUCUUCCCAGUUGAAUUUUCUCCCCUUGGAGGAUAAAACAUCUUACGAAUUGGAAAAAAUUGAGAGAGAACGAGUGUAGAACAAAGAAAUAUCCAUAACUGACCUUCGGAAACAUUGUUAUUAGGAUUGUAUUGUCACCAAACGCGGUUAUAAUCCCCGAAUUCACAAAUGUCUCAGGAUUGUUGAAAUUCCAAUCUUCACUAUUACUCAAAUUUUCCCAAGUGUACAUACAGGGUGGUUUAAAUACACAUUUACUUAUUACUUUUAAUUUAUACUAGCUAAAUUAAUUAAUCAAUAGUACAAAUAUGUAUAUGCACGCUCUUAAAAUAUUGUUACUCCUUUGCACUCUGAAUUCAAAAUUAAGCAAGCUACAUGCACUAAAUCCAGAGUAACGCUAACUUGAUAAAGCGUAAAGUUUACGCAGGGUUUUGUAUAACUUACUUAAUUUAUCACUAAGGGUGCAUUUACUUUUCAAAAGGGUGACAUUAUUUUUAAGAGUGCAUCCAUUUCAGUCAGAUACACACGUAUUUAUGUACAAAUAUUCAGUUUUCUUACGUGUCCAUCAUACCAUUAAACGCAGGAAAUAAACCGUCGCAAACGCGCAUACGGAAGUAGCUUCA
This is an RNA transcript of Folsomia candida, 1579 nucleotides long. RefSeq lists it as uncharacterized. NCBI's taxonomy places the organism in Eukaryota, Metazoa, Arthropoda, Collembola, Entomobryomorpha, Isotomidae. The transcript has 8 exons. The record is from RefSeq and is a predicted model, not a curated record.